UUCCUGGUACUGAUUGAAUCUCACGGUUGCGGAAACAUCUAUGCAGCUUUUGUAGUGUAGUGUUUCUAUGAGACCAGGAGCGCAUUGUUGCACCUAUUCUGAGGCUAGAGACUGAAAACACAUUGAGUCAGGUCCUCUGCCCCAUGACAUGGAUAGUUCAUGUGUACCAACAUUGCUGACAUUGCUGUGAGUUCUACCAGCUAAUGUGUGUGCUGGAGAUAUGAACUUCAAUAGGACUAGAACUGGAAACAAGGUAAGAGGUGGUUAAAAAUAUAUGGCAAUCAAAAUACAAAAUCACUUUCAGCCUCUUACAGAAAACUUGCAUUACAAUAUUUUUGCAUUAGAUCAGGAAGAUUCUGGGGAGACAUGGCAAUGUGUUACAACGGAAAAAUCUUUCAGUUCAUAAAUUCUUCAAUAAUAUAAAAGCUAUACUUUUUUGUUCCCCUUGUUUUUCCAGCUUCCAAGACUACUACAGAGACAAGGACCUUAUGACUCUGGUACUACAAGAGGAGGUGGCUCUGUAUAGACUGUUCUGGAGUCUUUGCCCAAGUUUUCCCAGGACUCCUUUUCAUUAUGUACUCCCACUGCAUAUCCCCUCCAAAAAGGGGGAAAACUCAUUACGUAUUUGACUAAAAAUUUCAGAAAUUUGGGACUAUGUUCUCAUUCAGAACAUUUGGAAAUAUCAGUAACUUGAAUAUAAUAUAAUCAUAUGAUCUUGAAUAUGAGCUUUAUAAGUACAUCUUCAGUUAUUUGUGUCUCUAAGCUCCUGCCAUUCAUUAGAUCAUUCAGGGCUAUGCUUCUGUGAGACUUUCAAUCUCAUAACUUCAGAUGAAGUCAUGGGAAACUUAAGGUGACUGAAAAUCAGGCUCAGAGUGAAAUAGCUCAUGGUGACAAUUGCUUUGAUUUGCUCAGAAUUCCAUUCAUUUUUAGCAGUACUGAAACAUGUGGAAGGUAGAAUGAGGAUAAACCAUUUAUAACAUACUCGGAAAUUGGUGUGCUUGUUACACACAACUUCUACAUGUAACAACUAACACAGAAAUGCUUUUGGACUGUUUUCAGUCUGCAGUGAAGAGUAUCCGGAUAUUUUUUAUCUCUGUUCUAUUUCCUUAUCAUAUCUGCGUGUGUUUGAGGAUGACAGAGCACUUUGAGAAGUAAAGGUGCAUGCGCAGAAAACUAAACCACAACAGUUACGUAGCUGCACAUAGAAACUCAGUUCUUAGCUAAUUUGCUGAAAAUAGCAGUGAGAUCACUUUCAUCAUUCCCAGCUGAGAACCAAAGUAAGUGGUCUUGUAAGGACUGUUUUCCUCUUAAGUUCUUUAACUGUAGAAAGUGAGGUUGCUCCAUGUAGGCUUCUUUAAAUAAAUGUCAGAGGGAUUUUUGGUGGUAUUUUCUUCUCAUUUACUGUCUCAAAUUAGUUCAUGUAUAUAGUAUUAAUGAGAACAGAGAUUUGAUUUUGAUUCAUUUCUCAAUCUCUUCACAUCAUCCUUGCAUUAACUUGCUUUUGGCAGAUUCUACGGAAAAUAAAUACUAUUAAGAGUUGAAAAUAAGGUGUUGGAACCACUCUUUGUCAAACACAAAAAUUUCCAUAAUGAGCUUUUCCUCAUUUGUCAAAGCCUUUCAUCUAAGAGCCUAUUCCAACACCUUGUGUUGACCUCUUUUUUAUGUUAGACAGAAAUGAACACGGUGUGCUAACUUUGAAGGCAAACUACUCCUUGCUCUGUCUUCUCAGACACAAACUGCCCUCCAACAAGGCCCUGUUCCCAAACUCAUGUGAGAAUGAAGUGUCCAGGCCUAACUAGUUGUACUUAAUCUCCUAUUUCAUAAUUCAGCAGAGCAUGGCCAGAUAUGAACUGUGCACAGUGCUAAAAUGCUACAGAUGGGCUGUAGGAAAUGAUUCACUCUCAAAUAUGAAAGGACUAAAAGUCAGCUACAGUCAUAAGAAACUGAAAAAGAAGUUGAAUGUGGGUGGCUGAAACUAUUUGCAUGUUGCCAUUGUAAAAAUGAAGAGGAAGAAUAAAGGCAAAUUUUUCAUGGUGCUGCAUGUUGUACCUGUGAUCAUAUGGUUGCAUGGUAAUGUGAUCAUUCAUCUCCUAUUCAUACAAGAAUAAAGAAUUUGCCUUGCUUUACAGGUGGUGGAUGUGAUAAAGCUUGUGACAGGAGCAGUCUCCACUUCCCUGGUGCUGAGAAGCACCCAGAAGAAGUAUAUUAACACAAGUCUGUUCUACUACUCAAGUGUGUUGUUGUACCUGGUUGACAGUGGUGACUGCAGUUGGGAAGGGUGACCAGGAGCAGUGAGAAGGCUGUGACCAAAGCAAGAUAAAUGAGGAGGUGCAAAAGUGCCAGUUUUUGUCCAGCACCUGCUGAGUACCUCAACACAUCCACAACCCAAACCUCUAAAAAUGUAAACAAGCCUUCCUCAGUGCAAACAUUUCUCACUCCAAUCUGUCUUGAGGCACCAAGAGAAUCUUUUUCAUGAUUGAAAGCUUUAUAUUUUCUGAAUAAAUGGAAGAAGAGCAAGCCAUAGGAAAAAAAUCCCUUUAAAACAGCAAAGCUAAGAUGUCUGCACUGAACAUUCUGAACUGUCUGCCUUUGGGAGCAACAGAUACAAAAGCUUCUGAGAGAGGGAAGUGAGAUCAAACCACAAAAAUUGUUAACAUAAUAUAUAUAUAUAAAGCUUUCUCACAUUUCACUUUUCAUUAUCUGCAAGAAAAUGGUCCUGCCUUACCAUAUCUUAUAUGUUACUGUAAUUAAACCAAGUUCAUGCAUCUUUUUGCAUUUGUAAUUGCAAUUUAUGUGAGGCACUGCUGGAAGCUAUUUUUCCAGUUUAGAAUUUGAUUAAAUGUAUUUGCCUGACAGGUUCUAGUUUAACCUAACAAUUACCCUUUUUUAAAUCUCUUUGUACCCUUUCACAGUACAAAUCUCUCUCUUUCUCUUUUUUUUUUAAUAGCUUUUUAUAACUAGUGCCAUUUUCAUGAGAUGUAUGUUACUGUGCAGAGUGCUGUACUGAUCUCACUUUAGCCAAUGGAAAUAUUUGCACAGUUGCAAGUUCCCAUAUAUUAAUAGAAUGAUCAUUUCAUUUGAGCUUUCCCAGUGCUGUCUUUUUCAGACCUGAGUCUGGUAUCAGUCUUGCCUUGCUGUUCUUCUGUCUCACUCAUUUGGAAUUUCUGAUACUCAGCUGCAUCAUUAUUCAUAGACAUCCUAACAAAGUGCCAAUCCAGGCUCUUUCAGAGCUCAUCAUCAUGGGCUAAUUCACCUUUCUGAAUAACUGUAGAGAAAAUAAUUUCACACUCAACUCCAUGCUGCUGCCUCCACUCUGCUUUGACACUGAAGAAGGUUUUUCAAAGCAAGCUCAAUAUCUCCAUACUGCAAUCCAGACAUAUCUUUAUGCAUAACUUAUUAGCUGAUAUCUCUUAGAGAAUUGUUUGUGAAAAACAGCCAAGAUCUUUCAUGUUCUCUAUUGUUGUUCAGUUGUUUUCUCUCACCGUAUCAGGCUGGAUUCAUCAGUCAAAACAGAUGUCUAGGUGUGAUUUUAGAUCUGAAUUCAUAUAGAUUCAGAAUCUGGUCUUGCCUGUGCAAGGAGAAGAGGUUCAGACAUCAUGUUCAGACUUGCAUGCAAAGUUCAGACCUGAGAUAAUUCUGCAUAGUGUUAUAGACUUUAGUGGAGCUAUGGACAUUAAUCCAACUGUACACACAAAUGAUAGGGACAUAUCAGUGCUGUUUCGUAUCACAGAGUGUAAAGGAAGUGAAACAACAGGAACAUAGUAAAAGUAACAAAAAUUGUCUCAGCCUUCUGAAUCUGGAAUUUUGGCAGGUGGCAGCAGUUCAGUGUUGCCUGUUGGUGGGGAGUGUUUGGCAUGGAGACCAAUCUCAAUAAAAAAUACAUUAAAGUAUGUUUUUUAAACAUAAUUACAACAUGAAAUAUGAAGUUAAAUAAAGAGAAGUGGCUAUAUAA
Molecule: long non-coding RNA, 3952 nt
Organism: Numida meleagris (helmeted guineafowl)
Lineage: Eukaryota; Metazoa; Chordata; Aves; Galliformes; Numididae
Exons: 2
Source: RefSeq, a predicted model, not a curated record